GAUGAACGCUGGCGGCGCGCCUAACACAUGCAAGUCGAACGAUUAAAGCACCUUCGGGUGUGUAUAAAGUGUCGAACGGCUGAGUAACACGUGUGCAACCUGCCCCUCUCAUUGGGGUAGCCCCGUGAAACCGUGGAUAAUACCGAAUACUUCGGGACUUCCGCAUGGAAGACUCGAGAAAGCUCCGGCGGAGAGGGAUGGGCGCGCGGCCUGUUAGCUUGUUGGUGGGGUAAUGGCGUACCAAGGACAUGAUGGGUAGCUGGGUUGAGAGUCAGACCAGGCACAGAGGGACUGAGACAGGGGCAGGACUCCUACGGGAGGCAGGGGUGGGAAUCCUACCAAGAUGGGCGAAAGGCGGAUGCAGCGACGCCGGGUGGGGGAUGAAGGCUGUCGGGGUGUAAACCGCUUUCAGCAGGGACGAGGCGAAUGUGACGGUACCUGAAGAAGAAGCCACGGCUAACUACGUG
This 467-nucleotide ribosomal RNA is filed under the name uncultured bacterium. RNAcentral's name for it is "partial 16S ribosomal RNA". It matches the Rfam family "Bacterial small subunit ribosomal RNA", at positions 28 to 507 of the family's 1533-position model. The record is from RNAcentral.